Marmota monax (woodchuck) is the source of this 2135-nucleotide long non-coding RNA. RefSeq lists it as uncharacterized. The record is from RefSeq and is a predicted model, not a curated record. Lineage: Eukaryota; Metazoa; Chordata; Mammalia; Rodentia; Sciuridae. The transcript has 3 exons.
UGAAAAGGUCAGAUGUUAUCUCACAGCAUAACAAAUUCUUGGUACUGUGACCAAACCCAAGUUCAUUUACUCAUGGCUUAAAAUGACCCAAUGAAUGGAGGCCACGUUGUUGGAACAAGGAAAAUGAUUUAGUUAGUAAGCCAGCGAAACCAGGGAGUUGGUGGACCUGAAAGACCACUUUAACUAAGCACGGUUUUAAGCUCCUUUUCUCAUUAGGCAAGGGGGAGACAGAGGGAAAUGUUAGGAAAUUAUUGAUAACUAAAGACUCCCAUGUACCUCUCUGGUGAUUGGGAAUGGUUAUAAAACCUGGUGGCUGGUGAUCUGUUGAUUUGACACAUAGUCAUGAUGCCCUUUAUUAUAUCUUGAUAAUAAUCUUAGCUAUUCUUUAUUAUUACUAUCCUUGAAGUUGGGGGAGAGAGUGGGGAGUUUUCAGGUAAAUCAGUUUUCAAGAUGAUACUUUUGGGCAAAUUUUCCUUAAGUGAUUAACCAGGGUCACCUGCUCAGGGAGGUGUAGAUAUUUUCUAGUGAAGGAUAGAUGUGAGGUUAAAUACAACAAGGAGGAAGUGGGGCCAAGUUUUCUUUAAACCAUAAGCCUGGCUAUAAUUAUAACCUACACAUCAGAGAUAUUAUCUACAGCAGAGCUAGUGGGAUAUUAAUAAUAUAUUUCUCAGCUGUGUGACCUUCAAAAUUAGCGAUUUUUAAAAGUCAUCUAAAAGCAAUAAACUAAGAUCAAGUAAAGUUAAAGGGUUUACUUAGAUUUUCACUUGGUUUCAGUACCCCACCAUGCUAAGCUCUUUCCCAGUUUAGCAACUGAAUUCUGGAUUCAAAAUCCAAAAAUAUCAGAGGAACUCAAUUCUAAAAAGAACUGAGCCUAAUCCAAGAGAAACUAACUUACAACACUUGGGGCUCCAUGAUGAAGACAGAGGACCUCAAAAUGGUAUAUCCAUAUGUAUGGUUUGGAGAGGAAGAAAGACAGUGGCAUGAUUCUGGAAGUACAGCAAAAUUUUGCAAAUGCUAUGCAGUUUUCAAGAAAGAAGGAAAUAAAACUUCUGGCUGUCCUUAGAUUUAUGGUCUUCACAGUUUGCAACCUCUGCUGCUGGCAAUUUUACUGAGCUGGCACACUCUCCAGAGGACAUCAUUUUAUCUUUUAAAAACAAUUACAAUCAUAAUUAGUAUUGUUAUGACUUUUUAGGCACGGCAGGGGAAUGCAGUGAUCUGGCCUGCAGUUUAUCAACAUGAAAAGCUGGGAAUUUAGCUAUGUUAAGAGGGGCUUCAUGGUGCCUUCCUCUGAACCAAGUUCUGCAACUAUGGGCAGACACACCCUCAGAAGGAUCUUGUAUUUGGUGGGAACUCUACUGGGGGAAUCUCCCACUAGACACCCCACAGUUGGUAAUUUUCUUCUCUUUUUCACUGAAAGAGGUUACCAACUAUAUCAGUACACGUAAACUCUGCUGUACAUUGGAAAUUCCUGGGCAGUUUUGGAAACUGUUGAUGCUCUGGCUGUACCUGGACCAAUUAAAUUAGAAGUUCUGGAGGUGGGACCAGGCAUUAGUAUUUUCUAAAACUCAUGUUAAAGAAAAAAAAAUCAAUGACACUUGGUAAAGCAAGUUAAGGAAGACUUUACUGAGGACCAUCACCAUAAGUAAAGGGACAACAGCAAUGAGAUUUUAGAUAGGGGAGAAAGAUUGGGCUCAACUCUGAAUACAGCAGGGGCAAGUGGGAAGAAGCAGAGUGGGGUUGUUACCAACCUGAAUAUUAGAUUCAUGUACACAGUGUGCAGCAACCAAUUAAUAAAUGAACACUGACACUUGAGGUAGAGAAAUUUUAACUGAGAAGGUACCAACUCAGAAGGUUGGUGAUAUGCCUCAAAUUUGCCUUAUCCCCCAAGCCUGAUCAUGAGUUAUAUAAGGGAAAAGGAGAAUCCAAAGGGAAACUGAUAGUUUUCCAAGUUUUGAUGAAAUCAAGGUUUUCAGAUUUCUUGGCACUUGGCAUACGAUUCUGCAGUUCUACAAAUCUUGUAAAUCACCAUUUGUAACAAAUAUAGCAAAGUUAUCAAUUGAUAAUUAUAGGAAUGGGAACAGGGACUCUGUUUAGCUGUCUAAACAGAAAAUAAAGAGUGUGUUUUGUUUUGUUUU